Molecule: ribosomal RNA, 253 nt
Filed under: uncultured bacterium
Lineage: Bacteria
Description: partial 16S ribosomal RNA
Rfam family: Bacterial small subunit ribosomal RNA
Source: RNAcentral
UACGAAGGGUGCAAACGUUGCUCGGAAUUAUUGGGCGUAAAGCGCACGUAGGCGGCUCCGCAAGUUGGAUGUGAAAUCCCUCGGCUCAACCAAGGAAGUGCAUCCAAAACUGCAGAGCUUGAGUACUUAAGAGGAUCGCGGAAUUCCCGGUGUAGAGGUGAAAUUCGUAGAUAUCGGGAGGAACACCAGUGGCGAAGGCGGCGAUCUGGGAAGAUACUGACGCUGAGGUGCGAAAGCGUGGGGAGCAAACAGG